UAUAUAUAUAUAUAUAUACAGACAGCAUCAGAAAAUAAUUUCCCCAAACCGUUAUGACACAAUUUUCCAGCAUCGCUGUGGGUUAAACAAUCCGUUAACGCUAAGAUUUCACUUUUUCAACCUUUUGGAGUGAUACUCUUAUGAGGAGGGCUGCAGGUAUUUGCUCAUUUCUAAACACAAACAGCAGAGAGAGAUGUUGUGAUAUCUGUAAAUGUCUGAUUUGAAUUGCAGUUCUCCUACGCAAUAUUCUAUUCAUGUGUUAACGAGGUCCGUUCUGCUUUUAUUUUGAAAAGCGCCGUUUUUCUUCUUAUGUUUUUGUGACGCUAACUUCCUGCUACUUAUCACUUGCAACGUGGAAGUCACGCAUCGUCGAAGCAAGGCUCCUAAUUAUGAGGGUGUGUCGAGAUGCUAGCAGGUGGAGGAAAUUCCUUUGAUUAGCGCCCUUGGAGAGCGGAUUGAGUUUUCACGGUGUUCAAGGUGUUCACGACGUCAUGGUGCUUAUGGUGCUCGUCGAGAGAAACGAAAUAAAUCAACACCCGUUUGAAACUCUCUGCGUCUUGAUCAAUCGAUCCGAGGGGCCGCUACAAUAUCUGUACCAGUGUCCAGCAGGGUUCAUUAGCUCCAAUUGCAUGUCUGUGUGUCUGGGAGUUUGAAACGUGUGUCUUCAUUUCUAUCUACAAUCGCAUGUAGAGUAGAAAUGCAAAUCUGUCUUUUUUAAAUAUGAUAUAUUACUAUUGCGUUGCUGUUGCCACAAAACACAGCAUCUAUAUCGUACACGGAAGCAUCCACACUGGACGUGUGCUAACGUGACACUUCGGGUUUUGGCAAAUGCAUGUUGUGUUGCAGAGGAGUUCUCACCAGCCCCAUCGGGACCCGUGAGUCAUGCGGAGAAGGCACCAGUCCCUCUGCCCCCAUACCACCUCCCACCCU
Molecule: long non-coding RNA, 930 nt
Organism: Gasterosteus aculeatus aculeatus (three-spined stickleback)
Lineage: Eukaryota; Metazoa; Chordata; Actinopteri; Perciformes; Gasterosteidae
Source: Ensembl